This 432-nucleotide ribosomal RNA is filed under the name uncultured bacterium. RNAcentral describes it as "partial 16S ribosomal RNA". It matches the Rfam family "Bacterial small subunit ribosomal RNA", at positions 29 to 507 of the family's 1533-position model. The record is from RNAcentral.
ACGAACGCUGGCGGCAGGCCUAACCCAUGCAAGUCGAGCGAGCAUUUCGGUGCUAGCGGCGGACGGGUGAGUAACGCGUGGGAACGUACCCUUUUCUGCGGAAUAGUCCUGGGAAACUGGGGGUAAUACCGCAUACGCCCUUUUGGGGAAAGAUUUAUCGGAGAAGGAUCGGCCCGCGUUGGAUUAGGUAGUUGGUGGGGUAAUGGCCCACCAAGCCGACGAUCCAUAGCUGGUUUGAGAGGAUGAUCAGCCACACUGGGACUGAGACACGGCCCAGACUCCUACGGGAGGCAGCAGUGGGGAAUCUUAGACAAUGGGGGCAACCCUGAUCUAGCCAUGCCGCGUGAGUGAUGAAGGCCUUAGGGUUGUAAAGCUCUUUCAGCUGGGAAGAUAAUGACGGUACCAGCAGAAGAAGCCCCGGCUAACUCCGUG